GGGAAGCGCUUUCAGAUGAACUGCAGGGAACAGGUGAAGAGUGUGGACACCGGAGCAUGGGGCGGUGAGAAGACACAAUACGAGGCCUGCCGUCCGAACGCGGACCCUGCAGCCCCUGCGGCGGGAAGCCGUGAACACAAGGCUGAGUUUGCGCCUCUGAUUUGCGCCACGUGAUGGGACUUGCCGGGGCCUCCCUGCCCGUGAAGAGGCUGUUUUUGCUUUGAGUCUGCGUGCACGGUGGGUCUGCUGCGCCUGCAUAGGUGGGUUUAAUUGGCUCCAGCUGCACUGGCGGCGCCUCUCCUCCACUAGGAUGUGGCGCAUGGAGUUAUGGGUGGAGCCCUUUGAAGCAGCUGCAAGUCAUUCUGUCGUAUAAACUGAAAUAAGAAGAGGGUGAAAAAUCCAAGCCCGUGACUCUGCCCGCUCCACAGCUGUGCUCACACAGCUCCGCGAGACGGCCGCCCAAACAAAGCUACCUCCGUGGGCCUUGGCCGGCUGACAAGAGGAAGAGAAGGAGAUUACUCUAAGCUGGGCCCGGCCUGGCCUGAGACUUCGAUCUCGGUGAUGACAGCCACCAGCUGGAUGAACUGGCCCCGCGUCCUUCCUACUCCUCAUCUCCCUUCUCUUGCUGGGACUUCACGAGAGAGCCCGAGUUACUGAGUCAACAGGAAGUAGAAGAGACUCCCACGCAGCUCAGGCCCCCGUGGCAGGACCAGGAAGGAGGGAGAGGUGGCGCGUUGCCU
This 740-nucleotide long non-coding RNA is filed under the name Homo sapiens (human). Its description in RNAcentral is "HSALNT0253798". Lineage: Eukaryota; Metazoa; Chordata; Mammalia; Primates; Hominidae. The record is from RNAcentral.